This 73-nucleotide transfer RNA is filed under the name Pseudomonas sp. p106. RNAcentral's name for it is "tRNA-Val". It matches the Rfam family "tRNA". Rfam says of the family: Transfer RNA (tRNA) molecules are approximately 80 nucleotides in length. Their secondary structure includes four short double-helical elements and three loops (D, anti-codon, and T loops). Further hydrogen bonds mediate the characteristic L-shaped molecular structure. tRNAs have two regions of fundamental functional importance: the anti-codon, which is responsible for specific mRNA codon recognition, and the 3' end, to which the tRNAs corresponding amino acid is attached (by aminoacyl-tRNA synthetases). tRNAs cope with the degeneracy of the genetic code in two manners: having more than one tRNA (with a specific anti-codon) for a particular amino acid; and 'wobble' base-pairing, i.e. permitting non-standard base-pairing at the 3rd anti-codon position. Lineage: Bacteria; Pseudomonadati; Pseudomonadota; Gammaproteobacteria; Pseudomonadales; Pseudomonadaceae. The record is from RNAcentral.
ACAUAGCUCAGUUGGUUAGAGCACCACCUUGACAUGGUGGGGGUCGUUGGUUCGAGUCCAAUUGUGCCUACCA